GGACAUAAUGAGCGGUGUUAGUGACAAUCAAAAGCCCAAGCACAGAACAAGUCAGACCCUGGUCAAUAACCUCGGAGCUCAUAGCUAAUUGUCACAAUAAGUGUCAUGGAUACAAAAGCACUGCCUGGCUCAUAACAGGCAAUGAAUUUUAUGAAGUUAGAGAAUUGAUCAAAUGCCAUUAAUCUUCUUUGUGAUAAUUCCUUCAAUUCAAAUAAAAUAUCUUUGGAAUAUAGGACUCAAAGGUUUUCAUUUUCACAUGUAUGUGUUAAGAUUAAACUAC
Non-coding RNA from Cinara cedri, 280 nucleotides. The record is from the annotation of a GenBank genome assembly. Lineage: Eukaryota; Metazoa; Arthropoda; Insecta; Hemiptera; Aphididae.